Molecule: ribosomal RNA, 1449 nt
Filed under: uncultured organism
Description: 16S ribosomal RNA
Rfam family: Bacterial small subunit ribosomal RNA
Source: RNAcentral
GCUGGCGGCGUGCCUAAUACAUGCAAGUAGAACGCUGAAGAGAGGAGCUUGCUCUUCUUGGAUGAGUUGCGAACGGGUGAGUAACGCGUAGGUAACCUGCCUUGUAGCGGGGGAUAACUAUUGGAAACGAUAGCUAAUACCGCAUAACAAUGGAUGACCCAUGUCAUUUAUUUGAAAGGGGCAAAUGCUCCACUACAAGAUGGACCUGCGUUGUAUUAGCUAGUAGGUGAGGUAACGGCUCACCUAGGCGACGAUACAUAGCCGACCUGAGAGGGUGAUCGGCCACACUGGGACUGAGACACGGCCCAGACUCCUACGGGAGGCAGCAGUAGGGAAUCUUCGGCAAUGGGGGCAACCCUGACCGAGCAACGCCGCGUGAGUGAAGAAGGUUUUCGGAUCGUAAAGCUCUGUUGUAAGUCAAGAACGAGUGUGAGAGUGGAAAGUUCACACUGUGACGGUAGCUUACCAGAAAGGGACGGCUAACUACGUGCCAGCAGCCGCGGUAAUACGUAGGUCCCGAGCGUUGUCCGGAUUUAUUGGGCGUAAAGCGAGCGCAGGCGGUUUGAUAAGUCUGAAGUUAAAGGCUGUGGCUCAACCAUAGUUCGCUUUGGAAACUGUCAAACUUGAGUGCAGAAGGGGAGAGUGGAAUUCCAUGUGUAGCGGUGAAAUGCGUAGAUAUAUGGAGGAACACCGGUGGCGAAAGCGGCUCUCUGGUCUGUAACUGACGCUGAGGCUCGAAAGCGUGGGGAGCGAACAGGAUUAGAUACCCUGGUAGUCCACGCCGUAAACGAUGAGUGCUAGGUGUUGGAUCCUUUCCGGGAUUCAGUGCCGCAGCUAACGCAUUAAGCACUCCGCCUGGGGAGUACGACCGCAAGGUUGAAACUCAAAGGAAUUGACGGGGGCCCGCACAAGCGGUGGAGCAUGUGGUUUAAUUCGAAGCAACGCGAAGAACCUUACCAGGUCUUGACAUCCCGAUGCUAUUUCUAGAGAUAGAAAGUUACUUCGGUACAUCGGUGACAGGUGGUGCAUGGUUGUCGUCAGCUCGUGUCGUGAGAUGUUGGGUUAAGUCCCGCAACGAGCGCAACCCCUAUUGUUAGUUGCCAUCAUUCAGUUGGGCACUCUAGCGAGACUGCCGGUAAUAAACCGGAGGAAGGUGGGGAUGACGUCAAAUCAUCAUGCCCCUUAUGACCUGGGCUACACACGUGCUACAAUGGUUGGUACAACGAGUUGCGAGUCGGUGACGGCAAGCUAAUCUCUUAAAGCCAAUCUCAGUUCGGAUUGUAGGCUGCAACUCGCCUACAUGAAGUCGGAAUCGCUAGUAAUCGCGGAUCAGCACGCCGCGGUGAAUACGUUCCCGGGCCUUGUACACACCGCCCGUCACACCACGAGAGUUUGUAACACCCGAAGUCGGUGAGGUAACCUUUUGGAGCCAGCCGCCUAAGGUGGGAU